GUGAACGUUACCAAACUGUUGCCUCGGCGGGAUCUCUGCCCCGGGUGCGUCGCAGCCCCGGACCAAGGCGCCCGCCGGAGGACCAACCAAAACUCUUAUUGUAUACCCCCUCGCGGGUUUUUUACUAUCUGAGCCAUCUCGGCGCCCCUCGUGGGCGUUUCGAAAAUGAAUCAAAACUUUCAACAACGGAUCUCUUGGUUCUGGCAUCGAUGAAGAACGCAGCGAAAUGCGAUAAGUAAUGUGAAUUGCAGAAUUCAGUGAAUCAUCGAAUCUUUGAACGCACAUUGCGCCCGCCAGUAUUCUGGCGGGCAUGCCUGUCCGAGCGUCAUUUCAACCCUCGAACCCCUCCGGGGGGUCGGCGUUGGGGAUCGGCCCUUUACGGGGCCGGCCCCGAAAUACAGUGGCGGUCUCGCCGCAGCCUCUCCUGCGCAGUAGUUUGCACACUCGCAUCGGGAGCGCGGCGCGUCCACAGCCGUUAAACACCCCAAACUUCUGAAAUGUUGACCUCGGAUCAGGUAGGAAUACCCGCUGAACUUAAGCAUAUCAAUAAGCGG
This 554-nucleotide ribosomal RNA is filed under the name Trichoderma virens. RNAcentral describes it as "eukaryotic LSU rRNA". The stretch from base 175 to 328 matches the Rfam family "5.8S ribosomal RNA". Lineage: Eukaryota; Fungi; Ascomycota; Sordariomycetes; Hypocreales; Hypocreaceae. The record is from RNAcentral.